Molecule: ribosomal RNA, 300 nt
Filed under: uncultured Lactobacillus sp.
Lineage: Bacteria; Bacillati; Bacillota; Bacilli; Lactobacillales; Lactobacillaceae
Description: bacterial SSU rRNA
Rfam family: Bacterial small subunit ribosomal RNA
Source: RNAcentral
GGCUAACUCCGGGCAAGGCGCGGCGGUAGUCCGUAGGUGGGAAGGGUGGUCCGGAAUUAUUUGGGUGAAAGCGCGGGCAGGCGGCUUCUUAAGUCCAUCUUAAAAGGGCGGGGCUUAACCCCGUGAUGGGAUGGAAACUGAGAGGCUGGAGUAUCGGAGAGGAAAGUGGAAUUCCUAGUGUAGCGGUGAAAUGCGUAGAGAUUAGGAAGAACACCGGUGGCGAAGGCGACUUUCUGGACGACAACUGACGCUGAGGCGCGAAAGCGUGGGGAGCAAACAGGAUUAGAUACCCUAGUAGUC